Long non-coding RNA from Prunus mume (Japanese apricot), 442 nucleotides. RefSeq lists it as uncharacterized. NCBI's taxonomy places the organism in Eukaryota, Viridiplantae, Streptophyta, Magnoliopsida, Rosales, Rosaceae. The record is from RefSeq and is a predicted model, not a curated record.
AUGCUCUACUAACAACCAUAAUAAAUUUGGCAGUGAGAAAACUGUAUUAGCUUUAAGCAAAGGCCAUCUUUUUUUCCUUUGCUGCCUACAUAUAUAUACCAUUUCGUGGUUCCUUUGAAAUGUUCUUCUACAGCUUCUUAUCGAAGAAAAACAAUGGCUGGUGCACCACCUGCACAAAGGAUGUCAUGCUGUGAUCAGGUCCAGAAGCGCAAGGAGGAGAAAGGCUCCUUCUAUUCUUGUUUGUUUGCAUUUUUCUGCUGCUGUUGCUGCUAUAAGACUUGUGAACCUUGCUUAAACGGCGUCUGCUGUUGCUGCCCUUAGAUCUCUAUACUUCAAUAUAUGUGCUACUGAUUGUAUGAGGAAAAUCAUGAGUUAUUAUGUGAAUAAUAAAAUAUGAUUCUUUUCAUUCGAGUAGAGUUACACUUCACAUUACAUUUUUACA